This 331-nucleotide unclassified non-coding RNA is filed under the name soil metagenome. RNAcentral describes it as "partial contains 5.8S ribosomal RNA, internal transcribed spacer 2, and large subunit ribosomal RNA". The stretch from base 1 to 120 matches the Rfam family "5.8S ribosomal RNA", at positions 35 to 154 of the family's 154-position model. The record is from RNAcentral.
GAUGAAGAACGUAGCGAAAUGCGAUAAGUAAUGUGAAUUGCAGAAUUCAGUGAAUCAUCGAAUCUUUGAACGCGCAUUGCGUCCGCCAGUAUUCUGGCGGGCAUGCCUGUUCGAGCGUCAUUUCAACCAUCAAGCCCCAGGCUUGUGUUGGGGGCCUGCAGCUGCUGCAGCCCCCUAAAAGCAGUGGCGGACUCGCUGUCAUACCGAGCGCAGUAGUUACAUCUCGCUCUGGGCAUGGCGGCGGGCACCUGCCGUAAAACACUCUUUCUAAGGUUGACCUCGGAUCAGGUAGGAAUACCCGCUGAACUUAAGCAUAUCAAUAAGCGGAGGA